This 513-nucleotide ribosomal RNA is filed under the name uncultured bacterium. RNAcentral describes it as "bacterial SSU rRNA". It matches the Rfam family "Bacterial small subunit ribosomal RNA", at positions 791 to 1310 of the family's 1533-position model. The record is from RNAcentral.
UAGUCCACGCCGUAAACGAUGGAUACUAGCUGUUUGGACUUCGGUCUGAGUGGCUAAGCGAAAGUGAUAAGUAUCCCACCUGGGGAGUACGUUCGCAAGAAUGAAACUCAAAGGAAUUGACGGGGGCCCGCACAAGCGGUGGAGCAUGUGGUUUAAUUCGAUGAUACGCGAGGAACCUUACCAGGGCUUAAAUGUAAGUUGCAUAAGUUAGAGAUAGCUUUUUCUUCGGACUACUUACAAGGUGCUGCAUGGUUGUCGUCAGCUCGUGCCGUGAGGUGUCAGGUUAAGUCCUAUAACGAGCGCAACCCCUGUUGUUAGUUGCCAGCGAGUAAUGUCGGGAACUCUAGCAAGACUGCCGGUGCAAACCGUGAGGAAGGUGGGGAUGACGUCAAAUCAUCACGGCCCUUACGUCCUGGGCUACACACGUGCUACAAUGGUAGGUACAGAGGGCAGCCANACCGCGAGGUGGAGCGAAUCUAUAAAACCUAUCACAGUUCGGAUCGGAGUCUGCAA